GGGGAUGUAGCUUAGUUGGUUAAGUGCUUGCCUGACAUGCAUGAAGCCUUGGAUUCUACCCCCAACACCA
Molecule: transfer RNA, 70 nt
Filed under: Cricetulus griseus (Chinese hamster)
Lineage: Eukaryota; Metazoa; Chordata; Mammalia; Rodentia; Cricetidae
Rfam family: tRNA
About the family: Transfer RNA (tRNA) molecules are approximately 80 nucleotides in length.
Source: Rfam by way of RNAcentral